This 258-nucleotide ribosomal RNA is filed under the name Triticum aestivum (bread wheat). RNAcentral's name for it is "partial small subunit ribosomal RNA". The record is from RNAcentral. Lineage: Eukaryota; Viridiplantae; Streptophyta; Magnoliopsida; Poales; Poaceae.
AUGCCUUCGGCUUCGUCGGCGGUGGGGAGGCUGCAGGCGGCGGCGCAGGACGCCGCCAACUCCUCCUCCUCCUCGCGCUCCGCCUUCUCCAACCAGCUCCUCGUGCCCAGGGAGGCAGGACGGAUGGUGUCUCUGUCGGCUUGCGCGAAGUUCGGCGCUGUCAGCUUUGUGGUUGGCGUCGUGGUUGGCUUCACCCUGAAUAAAAGGCUGCGCCGGUGGGCUGCCAAGCUGCUCAAGAGAAUUAAGGACGAUAACUAG